RNAcentral lists this long non-coding RNA (1123 nucleotides) under Lathyrus oleraceus (garden pea). Its description in RNAcentral is "Pisum sativum (pea) long non-coding RNA (PSAT_LNC039327)". Lineage: Eukaryota; Viridiplantae; Streptophyta; Magnoliopsida; Fabales; Fabaceae. The record is from RNAcentral.
AUCAAAAAAUGCUUGAAAAAUAUGAAUCAAAUGUUUAUACAAAUCAAAUUUAUUGUUACAAAUCAGAAUUAACUGCAAAGUAACUUACAAUCAGAAUCAAAUCCAAUUAGAUAAAAAAUUGUAUUUUCUAAUAAAAACUCAAAUCUAAAAAUCCUAAAAUACAUCAAUCAAAUUAAAAUCUAUAACCUAAAAAAACCUAAAAAUACAGAAGAAAUCAGAUGAACAAGGAUGAAAAAAGAGAACCCUAAAAAAAACUUUUCUAUUGUAGCUGCAAUUCCAAUCCCACACCAGAGCUUGAAUCAAAGCAGGAUUAGGGUUUCAAAUUGAAACUCUGAUUUCUCUAAGCUUAGCCUUCAUCCUUGACUAGUAAGGACCUUGUAUUCAAAGAAAAGAGAAGUAGUAAGUGAUCAAAUGAAAAAACAGAAAGAAAAGGACAAUCAAAGGAAUAAAAGAAAGGAAUCAAGGGUUACCUUUUCACUGGAAUACAUCUCCAUUUCGUAGGUUGGUCUUCAUACCUUCAUGCAUUGCCUUUGGUUGUUGUUUGCUCUGAUUGUUUUUUGCUCUAAACUAUUGUGAUUUUUUAAAUUUGAUUAGGGUUAGAAGAAGUUAGGGUUGAUUUCGAUAGAUCGAGGGUUUGAUUGGGGUGUGGGGAAGGCUGAUAUAUGGAUCGGUCAGGGUUUGUUAUUUGAUCUUGGUAAGUUUGGUGUUUUUUGAAAAAUCAGGGUUAGUGUUCAUGUUAAUAGGGUUAGGGUUCAUGUGAUGAACCCUAGGGUUCAUCUGGGAAGGGUUAGGGUUCAAGAAUAGGGUUAGGGUUCAUCAGGGUUCUGGGAAUAUGAAGAAUUUUACGUAGGUGUUCAUCAUCCAGAUGAACACCAGUUGAAUAUCCCGAUUGAGCUUCAACAAGAGAUCUGGGUAAUGCGGAGGUUCCGGGGAGGGGGACGGUGGUGGUCAGUUUCUGGGUUGAGUAUUCUUCAUGUUCAUGAUGAACAUGAAAAUUCCGGUUGAAGAUGGUGGUCCGGGAGGUGAGUUAAGGUGGAUAAAAGGGUGGUCAUAAAGAGAGGUAGAGAGAUGUCAGAGAAAAAGAUAAAGCAGAGAGUAAGAGAUAGAAAGGAGACUGAUAAAC